This 465-nucleotide ribosomal RNA is filed under the name uncultured bacterium. RNAcentral describes it as "partial 16S ribosomal RNA". It matches the Rfam family "Bacterial small subunit ribosomal RNA", at positions 28 to 507 of the family's 1533-position model. The record is from RNAcentral.
GACGAACGCUGGCGGCGUGCUUAACACAUGCAAGUCGACCGGAAAGGCCCCUUUUGGGGUACUCGAGUGGCGCACGGGUGAGUAACACGUGAGUAACCUGCCCUUGACUUCGGGAUAACUUCAGGAAACUGGGGCUAAUACCGGAUAGGAAUCCUUGCUGCAUGGUGGGGGUUGGAAAGCUUCGGCGGUUUGGGAUGGACUCGCGGCUUAUCAGCUUGUUGGUGGUGUAGUGGCUUACCAAGGCUUUGACGGGUAGCCGGCCUGAGAGGGCGACCGGCCACAUUGGGACUGAGAGACGGCCCAGACUCCUACGGGAAGCAGCAGUGGGGAAUAUUGCACAUAGGGCGGGAGCCUGAUGCAGCAACGCCGCGUGCGGGAGGACGGCCUUCGGGUUGUAAACCGCUUUCAGCAGUGGCGAAGCUUGUGGUGACGGUACCUGCAGAAGAAGCACCGGCUAACUACGUG